CACAAGCAGCGGAGCGUGUGGUUUAAUUCGAUGCAACGCGAAGGACCUUACCAGGGUUUGACAUGUUAGAAGUAGGAACUCGAAAGAGGGACGACCCUGUAUCCAAUCAGGAGCUAACACAGGUGCUGCAUGGCUGUCGUCAGCUCGUGCCGUGAGGUGUUAGGUUAAGUCCUGCAACGAGCGCAACCCUCGUCGCUAGUUAAUUUCUCUAGCGAGACUGCCCGUAUAACGUGGAGGAAGGUGGGGAUGACGUCAAGUCAGCAUGGCCCUUACACCCUGGGCGACACACACGCUACAAUGGGUGGUACAGCGGGUUGCGAUAGAGCGAUCUGGAGCCAAUCCCAAAAAUCAUCCUCAGUACGGAUUGCAGGCUGCAACUGCCUGCAUGAAGUUGGAGUUGCUAGUAAACGCAGGUCAGCACACUGCGUUGAAUACGUUCUCGGGCCUU
Molecule: ribosomal RNA, 448 nt
Filed under: uncultured Chloroflexota bacterium
Lineage: Bacteria; Bacillati; Chloroflexota
Description: bacterial SSU rRNA
Rfam family: Bacterial small subunit ribosomal RNA
Source: RNAcentral